GCUUAACGCGAAGAACCUUACCCACACUUGACAUGCCUCUUUUGGCUUUCAGAGAUGAUUGCCUUCGGUUCGGCCGGGGUAGUGCACAGGUGCUGCAUGGCUGUCGUCAGCUCGUGUCGUGAGAUGUUGGGUUAAGUCCCGCAACGAGCGCAACCCUUAUCGUAUGUUGCCAGCAUUUAGUUGGGCACUCGUGCGAGACUGCCGGUGAUAAGCCGGAGGAAGGCGGGGUACGACGUCAAGUCAUCAUGGCCCUUACGUGUGGGGUCUAGAAACGUGCUACAAUGGGAGUGACAGUGAGCAGCGAGGUCGCGAGGCCAAGCUAAUCUCCAAAACGCUCUCUCAGUUCAGAUUGUAGUCUGCAACUCGACUACAUGAAGUUGGAAUCGCUAGUAAUCGCAAACUCAGCAUGUUGCGG
This 415-nucleotide ribosomal RNA is filed under the name uncultured bacterium. RNAcentral's name for it is "bacterial SSU rRNA". It matches the Rfam family "Bacterial small subunit ribosomal RNA", at positions 954 to 1362 of the family's 1533-position model. The record is from RNAcentral.